AGGGGAAAAUGCAGAAGAGAGAGCAUUCAACAGAGUACUCAAAGAUGAACGCCCGCAGACGCUUGAAAGAGACAAAACUGGAGCUUAAGUACCGAAGAGACAUCUGCUUACAGGCCCGUGAGCUGGGAUGCAAAGAGGAAUAACAGAAUAAUUCAACGGUCGCCUGCUUUAUUAAAUCAUUAAAUUGAAAUAUAGAUUGUUACUGUUAAAAAUAAACUUUUUAAAUCCAAAAGAGAUUGUGUCCUUAUGAUUAACAUACAUUGGUUACAAUGUGUAAAAAUAAAAUCUGUGGAUGAUGU
This is a long non-coding RNA of Pocillopora damicornis (cauliflower coral), 299 nucleotides long. NCBI's taxonomy places the organism in Eukaryota, Metazoa, Cnidaria, Anthozoa, Scleractinia, Pocilloporidae. The record is from RefSeq and is a predicted model, not a curated record.